This is an unclassified non-coding RNA of Papio anubis (olive baboon), 148 nucleotides long. It matches the Rfam family "Metazoan signal recognition particle RNA". From Rfam's summary of the family: The signal recognition particle (SRP) is a universally conserved ribonucleoprotein. It is involved in the co-translational targeting of proteins to membranes. The record is from Ensembl. Lineage: Eukaryota; Metazoa; Chordata; Mammalia; Primates; Cercopithecidae.
GCCAGGUGUAGUGCUGUGCACCUGUGGUCCUAGCUCCUCAGGAGGCUGAGGCGGGAGGAUCGCUUGAGCCCAGGAGGCAGAGGUUGCAGUGAGCCGAGAUCAUGCCACUGCAUUCCAGCUUGGGCUACACAGUGAGACCCUGUCUCAA